GUGCUCACUUCGGCAGCAUAUAUACUAAAAUUGGAACGAUACAGAGAAGAUUAGCAUGGCCCCUCCGCGAGGAUAACACACAAAUGUGCGAAGUGGUCCGUAUUUUU
This is a small nuclear RNA of Vicugna pacos (alpaca), 107 nucleotides long. NCBI's taxonomy places the organism in Eukaryota, Metazoa, Chordata, Mammalia, Artiodactyla, Camelidae. The record is from Ensembl.